GCUGGCGUGGCAACACUCUGGCGUUUGGAAGGAACUCUAAAUUCCGGAUACACAGGUUCGAAUCCUGUCGGCAGCGCCA
RNAcentral lists this transfer RNA (79 nucleotides) under Verrucomicrobiota bacterium. RNAcentral's name for it is "Verrucomicrobia bacterium transfer RNA". It matches the Rfam family "tRNA". Rfam says of the family: Transfer RNA (tRNA) molecules are approximately 80 nucleotides in length. Their secondary structure includes four short double-helical elements and three loops (D, anti-codon, and T loops). Lineage: Bacteria; Pseudomonadati; Verrucomicrobiota. The record is from RNAcentral.